This 441-nucleotide ribosomal RNA is filed under the name uncultured bacterium. RNAcentral's name for it is "partial 16S ribosomal RNA". It matches the Rfam family "Bacterial small subunit ribosomal RNA", at positions 338 to 795 of the family's 1533-position model. The record is from RNAcentral.
CCUACGGGAGGCAGCAGUGGGGAAUAUUGCACAAUGGGGGAAACCCUGAUGCAGCGACGCCGCGUGAGUGAAGAAGUAUUUCGGGAUGUAAAGCUCUAUCAGCGGGGAGGAAGCAAGACGGGACCUGACUAAGAAGCACCGGCUAACUACGUGCCAGAAGCCGCGGUAAUACGUAGGGGGCAAGCGUUAUCCGGAUUUACUGGGUGUAAGGGGAGCGUAGGCGGUAUGGCAAGUCUGAAGUGAAAGCCCAGGGCUCAACCCUGGGACUGCUUUGGAGACUGGUAGACUAGAGUGUUGGAGAGGUAAGUGGAAUUCCUAGUGUAGCGGUGAAAUGCGUAGAUAUCAGGAGGAAUACCAGUGGCGAAGGCGGCUUCCUGGACAGUAACUGACGUUGAGGUUCGAAAGCGUGGGGAGCAAACAGGAUUAGAUACCCGUGUAGUC